UACAAUGGAGUUGGCUAAUGCUAACACCUUGGUGUGCUACAAUGGUGUUGGCUAAUGCUAACACCUUGGUGUGCUACAAUGGAGUUGGCUAAUGCUAACACCUUGGUGUGCUACAAUGAAGUUGGCUAAUGCUAACACCUUGGUGUGCUACAAUGGAGUUGGCUAAUGCUAAUACCUUGUUGUGCUACAAUGGAGUUGGCUAAUGCUAACACCUUGGUGUGCUACAAUGAAGAUGGCUAAUGCUAACACCUUGGUGUGCUACAAUGGUGUUGGCUAAUGCUAACACCUUGGUGUGCUACAAUGGAGUUGGCUAAUGCUAACACCUUGGUGUGCUACAAUGGAGUUGGCUAAUGCUAACAGACUCAGGCCGGACGCGAUUUGAUCUGCGUUAGAUCCGUGUUAAAGUUUGCUUGACAUUUUCCGAUUUAGCUGACAUUUGCAGUGUUUACUGUGAAUGUGAUUGCCUGUGAAUGCGGGAGUGUUACCUUUUUAAAAAGAGCAUUGUCGACAAAGCGCGACGGGAUUGAAUCCGUCCUCAGUCAUCUCUAGAACCAAUCAUCACUCAGAUGAUGCCAAUAGUUUGACCCUAAAUGCACUUUAAACAUUCAGCUUUUCCCCGUGAACUGACCGUUGUCUUUGGUUGAAAUGUUUGUGGUUUGGAAAAAGGUAGUCACUGGUCGUGUCCGAAAUCUGACUUGCCUACUACUUAAACUAAAUAUUGUGUACUGAACGUACUAAACGCUAUUUAAAACGCACUGUUUAGUAAGAAUGUACGCAGUAAGUGACAAAUAUCAACGUACUACUCAUCCGCACUGAGAAGGUGGCAUCGACUGCGCAUCACCCUUGUUCCCCGCCAUUGGUACAUGUUGUAGAGCGCAUCCCCUUAUUCUGUUUAUCAGCUGUUUGUCGAACACGUGAAAAGAAAAAAGAGGAUUCUCUUCCUGAAUAGUGUGCAGCGAAUUCAAUUUCAUCAAAAGCCAAAUGACUAUGAGAUCUGGGCAUUUAAAUUAUACUCGAUUUUCAAAACGUCACAUACUAUAAAACUUUUUAUAUUUUUUUCUUUCUGCAUAUUUAAGAAACCUACUAUUUACUAUUUUAAAUUUGGGUAUUCGGACACGGUCAGUGUAACUCCAAUUGUGUCAUGAUGCUUAAUACUGAUCAAUGGUAUUUCAUUUCGAACACAGUGAAUUAAGUUUCAAAUGUUAGUUUGAUUUUAUGGAUAAUUGCUACUGCAAGUGAAACACUGAAUGUGACCGUUUAUAGUUUCAAAAAAAGAAAAUUACUUUGCUACGAUAAUUUAAUGAUUUGCUAAAUAUAAUUAUUUAACUUUGUUUACUAUGUUAUUAUGUUACUCUUAUAGCUACAGUAACUUCCCUAUUUCACAUUUUUGGUCUACAGUACACCCAGCCUCUACACUCAAAUUAAAACUUCAGAUAUCAAGCACAAAUUGUUAAAGGUGCAACAUGCAGAAAUCACUUCGCCAUUUCCUGGUUGCUAAAAAUCCAAUAGUUUGCCUAAUUUUAGUUUGUGACAAAACAAGCAAGUACAGUGUAGAGAAUCAUUGUACCAUCUAAACCGCUGUGAAAUAUAUUUUUCGUAACCAAAAAUAUUGUAUUUUCAGCUGUUUUGAAGUUGGUGUACAAAACCCGAAAGUAAAAGACUCAAAAAUAAAAACGUAAGAAUGGGAAGCAUAGAAAUCGAGCACAUAGAACAUAUCUACUACUUCUUAAACUGGCUUUCAAUGAGGACAGCUCCAAUUGUGUAACUCACAUUUCUAUGUGAAUUUGUUUGAGUUGCCGAUUUUUUUUUUACAGAUUGCAGCUUUAGCUACUGCACACAAAACGAUGUAUAAGAAUUGGUAGGAUUUUUUUUUCUUCUGAAUACCCAGCAGCCCCUACUAACUCCCCAUCACAUAGACCAGUCUUCCCUAGUGAUAAUCAAGGAUUCAAUGGAAAAGUACAUUAUCCUCCCCAAGUUCCAUUUCACAAGGAAACAAUUGCCACAAAGUCAAAACCCUAACGUGUGUCCUUAACGGCACCCUAUUCCAUUUAUAGCGCACUACGUUUGACCAACGCCAUAUGGGCGUAGUGUACUAAACUACAUAGGGUGUUAUUAGAGACUUAAACCCUAACCUUUUUCCUCCGAUUGUACCUUGAAUAGCAUAAUGGCAUUACUAUAAGGUGAUCUAUACGUCAUUAAUAAUACUGUCUUUUACACUGUGUGUAAAAAAAUAAAAUAAUUAAGAAACACCUUUUGCCCUCAUAACAGAUUCAGUUCGUCAGGGCGUGGACUCUAAAAGGUGUUGAAAGUGUCCCACAGGGAUGCUGGCCCAUGUUGACUCCAAUGCUUCCCUGAGUUGUGUCAAGUUGGCUGGAUGUCAAUCAAUCAAUGAAUGAAAUGUAUUUAUAAAGCAGAUGUCACAGUACUUAUACAGAAGCCCAGCCUAAAACACCAAACAGCAAGCAAUGCAGAUGUAGAAGCACGGUGGCUAGGAAAAACUCCCUAGAAAGGCAGGAACCUAGGAAGAAACCUAGAGAGGAACCAGGCUCUGAGGAGUAGCCAGUCCUCUUCUGGCUGUGCCAGGUGGAGAUUAUAACAGAACAUGGCUAUUAAAGCCAGAUUGUUCUUCAAGAUGUUCAAAUGUUCAUAGAUGACCAACAGGGUCAGAUAAUAAUAAUCACAGUGGUUGUAGAGGGUGCAACAGGUCAGCACCUCAGGAGUAAAUGUCAAUUGGCUUCACCUGGUCAGUCUAUGUCAUAGAAAGAGCACGUGUUCCUAAUGCUUUGUACUCAGUGUAUACUGUAUAUGGUAUGAGCAAGUAUCCAUAGGAUUUAACCCAUCCCAAUCCUAUUACAUAUCCCUGGGUAUGUUUGGCAUGUCAUCGUCACUCAUGCUUAAAAUGUUAGUUUUUUUAAGUUCGUUUUUUUUUUUACAAUAUGUGUACAAAUGUUGCAACAAUUCAGAUUUCAGGAAAGCCAAAAAAAAAGCUGUUAAGAAAUAAACGUGUUAAAUAUUUAUUUUGUGACAUUUCAUCUUAUUUAACGAACAUAAUUUCUUCAUACAAUCAUAAACCCGUCCACCACACCUACCUAGGUUUGCAAAAGUUCUGGAAUUUUCACAAAAUUCCCAGGUUUUCCAGAAAUCCCGG
RNAcentral lists this long non-coding RNA (3148 nucleotides) under Salmo salar (Atlantic salmon). RNAcentral's name for it is "lncRNA (ENSSSAG00000116932.1)". Lineage: Eukaryota; Metazoa; Chordata; Actinopteri; Salmoniformes; Salmonidae. The record is from RNAcentral.